This 566-nucleotide ribosomal RNA is filed under the name uncultured eukaryote. RNAcentral's name for it is "bacterial SSU rRNA". It matches the Rfam family "Eukaryotic small subunit ribosomal RNA", at positions 4 to 565 of the family's 1831-position model. The record is from RNAcentral.
CUGGUUGAUCCUGCCAGUGGUUAUAUGCUUGUCUCAAAGAUUAAGCCAUGCAUGUCUAAGUACAUACUAAACUAAAGUGAAACCGCGAAUGGCUCAUUAAAUCAGUUAUGGUUCCUUAGAUAUUGACUAUCUACAUGGAUAACUGUGGUAAUUCUAGAGCUAAUACAUGCAAUAAAUCCUUGACCUUAUUGGAAAAGGAGCAUUUAUUAGACCAAGACCAAUGGGACUUCGGUUCCUUUUGGUGGUGACUCUGGAUAACCUUGCUGAUCGCAUGGCCAAUGUGCCGGCGACGAAUCUUUCAAGUGUCUGCCUUAUCAACUGUCGAUGGUAGGUUAUGCGCCUACCAUGGUUGUAACGGGUAACGGGGAAUCAGGGUUCGAUUCCGGAGAGGGAGCCUGAGAAACGGCUACCACAUCCAAGGAAGGCAGCAGGCACGCAAAUUACCCAUUUCCGGCACGGAGAGGUAGUGACGAAAAAUAACAAUCUAGGACUCUAUUGAGGCUCUAGAAUUGGAAUGAGAACAAUUUAAAUCCUUUAACGAGGAUCUAUUGGAGGGCAAGUCUGGU